RNAcentral lists this long non-coding RNA (307 nucleotides) under Gossypium barbadense (sea-island cotton). Its description in RNAcentral is "long non-coding RNA (GBAR_LNC019819)". Lineage: Eukaryota; Viridiplantae; Streptophyta; Magnoliopsida; Malvales; Malvaceae. The record is from RNAcentral.
UGGAAGUGAAAUAGUGAAUUGAAAAUAAAAUGUGAAAUAUGUUGCAAAUAUAUGAAAUAUAUGAGUUAUAUACUCAUGAAAUGACUAUGGAAUGAAUAUUGCAAUUGUAUAAUGAAAUAUGAAAUAAAUUGUGAAAAACUAUUUAUAUAACAAGUAUGAGAAUUGAGAUAUUUGUGAAACAAAUGAAAUAUGAUAUGGUUGUUGUAAUAAUUAAAUAUUAAUAUGUAUUUAUAUUUCAAUUGUAUAAUUAUAAUUUCUUAUCUUUAAAUAUUCGGAUUAUAGAAAUACCACUGAGUUUAUAUUCAGC